AUUGAACGCUGGCGGCAGGCCUAACACAUGCAAGUCGAACGGUAGCACAGAGAGCUUGCUCUCGGGCGACGAGUGGCGGACGGGUGAGUAAUGUCUGGGAAACUGCCCGAUGGAGGGGGAUAACUACUGGAAACGGUAGCUAAUACCGCAUAACGUCGCAAGACCAAAGUGGGGGACCUUCGGGCCUCACACCAUCGGAUGUGCCCAGAUGGGAUUAGCUAGUAGGUGGGAUAAUGGCUCACCUAGGCGACGAUCCCUAGCUGGUCUGAGAGGAUGACCAGCCACACUGGAACUGGGACACGGUCCAGACUCCUACGGGAGGCAGCAGUGGGGAAUAUUGCACAAUGGGCGCAAGCCUGAUGCAGCCAUGCCGCGUGUAUGAAGAAGGCCUUCGGGUUGUAAAGUACUUUCAGCGGGGAGGAAGGCGGUGAAGUUAAUAGCUUCACCAAUUGACGUUACCCGCAGAAGAAGCACCGGCUAACUCCGUGCCAGCAGCCGCAGUAA
RNAcentral lists this ribosomal RNA (504 nucleotides) under uncultured bacterium. Its description in RNAcentral is "partial 16S ribosomal RNA". It matches the Rfam family "Bacterial small subunit ribosomal RNA", at positions 30 to 523 of the family's 1533-position model. The record is from RNAcentral.